This is a non-coding RNA of Pelobates cultripes (western spadefoot toad), 643 nucleotides long. Lineage: Eukaryota; Metazoa; Chordata; Amphibia; Anura; Pelobatidae. The record is from the annotation of a GenBank genome assembly.
GCCCUGUCUACAAGUGUGCUGCGGUUUUGGGCGGUUCAUUCUCCAGGAUUUUGACUUUGGUGGAUUGGCCGUGUUUACCAACUUUUCUCCCCCCCAAAGAAAGAGGGAGGGGGAGGGGUCCAGUCGACAGUUAUGUUUGCCUUACCUUAUUCUGAUUUGGUUAUGUUUUACUGACUGUGUUAAUUGUUUGUUUGCUGCUUGAGGUGUCAAUAAAGAAGGUAUAAGCAAAUAUGUGCCUUCUGUCUUUAAAGCGGCACUGUCAUGCCAAACUUACCUUUCCUCAAUCUCUUCCUCUUCUCCCCCUCUCUCAGGAUCUGUUCUUCUUUUCUUCCUGUCUUCUUUAGUUUUAUUUAAAAUCAUAAGACAAAGUAGGGACUCUUUGCCUUAUGGAGGAUUCCUCCGCUUGACCAGCUCUGACCAGCGGAGGAGUAAAGUGUGCUUCAUUUCCGCUGGUCAGAGCAAUUUUCCCAUGAUCCUUACCUUUCCUCUGUGUUCCCACGAUGCUUCCUGUCAUUUUACACGAAACUGCUGAAUUGCAUUCUAACUGAAUGAGAACAGUAUGUUCGUUUCUUUUAGAACACAAUUCGGCAUUUUAUUCGGAUCACAAUUUCAUUCGAAUGAAUGAAACUCCGAUCCUAUUCAU